CUUAGCAGAGAUGCUUGGUGCCUUCGGGAACUCUGAGACAGGUGCUGCAUGGCUGUCGUCAGCUCGUGUUGUGAAAUGUUGGGUUAAGUCCCGCAACGAGCGCAACCCUUAUCCUUUGUUGCCAGCGGCUCGGCCGGGAACUCAAAGGAGACUGCCGGUGAUAAACCGGAGGAAGGUGGGGAUGACGUCAAGUCAUCAUGGCCCUUACGGCCAGGGCUACACACGUGCUACAAUGGCGCAUACAAAGAGAAGCGACCUCGCGAGAGCAAGCGGACCUCAUAAAGUGCGUCGUAGUCCGGAUUGGAGUCUGCAACUCGACUCCAUGAAGUCGGAAUCGCUAGUAAUCGUAGAUCAGAAUGCUACGGUGAAUACGUUCCCGGGCCUUGUACACACCGCCCGUCACACCAUGGGAGUGGGUUGCAAAAGAAGUAGGUAGCUUAACCUUCGGGAGGGCGCUUACCACUUUGUGAUUCAUGACUGGGGUGAAGUCGUAACAAGGUAGGCGUAGCGAG
Molecule: ribosomal RNA, 512 nt
Filed under: uncultured bacterium
Lineage: Bacteria
Description: bacterial SSU rRNA
Rfam family: Bacterial small subunit ribosomal RNA
Source: RNAcentral